Molecule: long non-coding RNA, 1700 nt
Filed under: Homo sapiens (human)
Lineage: Eukaryota; Metazoa; Chordata; Mammalia; Primates; Hominidae
Description: HSALNT0319504
Source: RNAcentral
CUCAAGAAAGAGGCAAACAGACUAGCCACUGCUCCAGGAUGACUGUGGCUCUUUAUGAGUGAAGAGAAAGGGUGGAGACUGAAGACAGAACUGGGGACAGUGACAGGCUUGGGGAAGAACAGCUGAUUCAGCAGUCCCAAGCAUCUGAACACAAGGUGGACAUUCUCCAGGGUGACAUCGCAAAAUACAUGGGUGAAGACAACCUAGUGGCCGUGACUUGGAGCACCCUUCCUCACAAUGAAGGCAUUCUGGGCCAGCCUGAAAAACAGCAUGGAAAUAAAUCACCUAAGUACAAGGGACCUCGGUGACAACGCUGUGAACAUCUAUGGAUUCCGCAUUCAAGUACUUUGUCACAACUGUCUCCACAAGUUGCAGUUUGAUGGGUCCACGUGCCAGCAAGAUAGAGAUACUCAUCAGGAAGUUGGCCAUGCAAGUUUGAAAUUUGAGAGAAGAAUCACAAAAAUGCAAAGGCUGUGCUCAAAUAAAAAUGAACUCCUUUGGUAAAGUCCUGGUCUUCAAUUCACUAAUGUUAAGGUGGGAACCAUCCCAUUACUCUGGAAUGUAUGUUCUUAAAUCAAGUGAUCAGAUUUUCUUACAUUGGUAGAGGCAAAGGAAUGGGAAUCAUAUACUAAUGGAUUUUAUACAAAACACAGCAUAAAAAAAUUACCAUAACACUUUUAAGAUUAAAACCAGAUUAAAAAUUAAUAAAACUUACAAAUGACAAAUGUUUUCUACAUACUAGACUGAAAGACAUUAUUGCAUUUUCUAUUUUAAAAUAAAAUGACUCUAUCUAGAAUGGUUUAAGUGAGUUCCUCUCAAAGCAGAAAACUUCUUAAGAUUAUUUUCUAUAAGGUCCUUCAGAAACAAGAAACCCUCUAACCUUAGAGUUACUUUUUAUCAAUUCUUACCUUGCCAACCUAGACUUCUCAGCCAAACUUCCUAAUCUUAAUUCCUUAGCAGAUAUGGUAAAUUCCUUAGAAACCUACUUGAUGAUGUACAACUAUCUUCAUGAUCCUAUCAAUAUACUCAGGCAACUAUCUAAUCACCAAGGUUAUGUGUUGGGAAGGGAAAGGUGAAAUACAUCGAUCCUUCUGUCUGAAGACUUGAUUAACUCUCAGCCAGGCACAGUGGCUCACGCCUGCCACUUUGGGAAGCUGAGGUGGGAGAAUUCUCUGUAGCCAGGAAUUCAAGACCAGCCUUGACAACACAGGAAAACACUGUCUCUACAAAAAAAUUCUAAAAAAAUUAACCAGGCAUGGUGGUGUGUGCUUGCAGUACCAGCUACUUGGGAGGCUAAAGCAGGAGGGUCACUUGAGCUCAGUAGUUCAAGAUUGUAGGGAGCUAUGAUCACAUCACUGCACUCCAGCCUGGGCAAUAGAAGAAGACUGUCUCCAAAAAAAAAAAAAGACUAACUCUCAUGCUCUUUAUUUGCGUUUAUGCUAACUAAUGCUCAAACUCUGCUAUGCUUCUGAUUCUGUCAUACUAACUAACAGGCCUGAAUCCUGGCAUCACUGGCCUUAUACUUCUCAUGAAAGCACAAGAUAAUAACUAAGGAACACAUUAGUAUAGUGUAGAUGGAGAGAGCUUAGGAUGUGGGGCCUUAUGAUCAAGGGAAGACAUGACUGAAAAAAGAAACAAAUUUUUGGCCUGGCGCAAUGGCUCACGCCUGUAAUCCCAGCACUUUGGGAGGCCGAGGCGGG